GUCUUAAGUAGCUUAAAGUUUAAAGCUUAAUAUUGAAGUUAUUAUUAUGGGUUAUAUACCCCUUAGACA
This 69-nucleotide transfer RNA is filed under the name Megacopta cribriella. RNAcentral describes it as "tRNA-Phe". The record is from RNAcentral. Lineage: Eukaryota; Metazoa; Arthropoda; Insecta; Hemiptera; Plataspidae.